This 398-nucleotide ribosomal RNA is filed under the name uncultured bacterium. Its description in RNAcentral is "partial 16S ribosomal RNA". It matches the Rfam family "Bacterial small subunit ribosomal RNA", at positions 523 to 918 of the family's 1533-position model. The record is from RNAcentral.
AUACGUAGGGUGCGAGCGUUGUCCGGAAUUACUGGGCGUAAAGAGCUCGUAGGUGGUUUGUCGCGUCGUCUGUGAAAUUCCGGGGCUUAACUCCGGGCGUGCAGGCGAUACGGGCAUAACUUGAGUACUGUAGGGGAGACUGGAAUUCCUGGUGUAGCGGUGAAAUGCGCAGAUAUCAGGAGGAACACCGGUGGCGAAGGCGGUUCUCUGGGCAGUAACUGACGCUGAGGAGCGAAAGCAGGGGUAGCGAACAGGAUUAGAUACCCUGGUAGUCCAUGCCGUAAACGGUGGGCGCUAGGUGUAGGGGUCUUCCACGACUUCUGUGCCGUAGCUAACGCAUUAAGCGCCCCGCCUGGGGAGUACGUCCGCAAGGCUAAAACUCAAAUGAAUUGACGGGG